This 99-nucleotide microRNA precursor is filed under the name Camelus bactrianus (Bactrian camel). RNAcentral describes it as "mir-544 microRNA precursor family". It matches the Rfam family "mir-544 microRNA precursor family". Lineage: Eukaryota; Metazoa; Chordata; Mammalia; Artiodactyla; Camelidae. The record is from Rfam by way of RNAcentral. RNAcentral also lists the same sequence under 2 other names.
AUCACCUGGGGAAUCUUGUUAAACUGCAGACUCUGAUUUAGUAGUACUGGGGAGCGGCUUGAGAGUCUGCAUUUUUAACAAACUCCCAGGUGAUGCCAG